AACAGCAUUGAAAGAAGUCUGAAACUGAUGGUUCCAGCAGAAGGAAAUGGGACAAGUUCAGCCACACAUAAAGCCUGGAGGGGGGAGAACACUGCAUUGCCAGCUCAUCUGGAUUUGGGAAACUGAAGAGCACAGAGUAACACAGUGAGGACACAGACUUGGAACAGUGGGCACUGAAGCACCUUAACCUUCAUGCGUCUUCUGCUGUUCUUACGGGAAUGUCUCGGUUGAGAAGAAAAACGUCCUUGGCGUCGUGACAAUGCAAACACGUUGGCCCCAGACCCACACUCUGAGCUGCAGUGAAAGGUCACGUCAACAUCUUGGCAGAGAACCUCUGAAUUCCAGGGCCGGGAGACCCCGAGACCCUCAAUCCAAGCCUUUUACUCCACAUGGGAAAACUGAGGCACAGGGUCCAGCGCAUCCAUCAGUGUAACGGAAAGUGGUUCAGCUGAAGGUGACGGGGAUGCCCUGCCCCCUGCUGUCUGCUGUCCCCUCCCCAACCCGACACCAAGGUCUGCGUGCACUUUGUCCCCGGCGGUGUCGCCCUCCGGACCCAGAGCUGCUAUGAUCGCCCAGUUCGG
Molecule: long non-coding RNA, 581 nt
Organism: Balaenoptera acutorostrata (minke whale)
Lineage: Eukaryota; Metazoa; Chordata; Mammalia; Artiodactyla; Balaenopteridae
Exons: 4
Source: RefSeq, a predicted model, not a curated record